RNAcentral lists this microRNA precursor (168 nucleotides) under Pelobates cultripes (western spadefoot toad). Lineage: Eukaryota; Metazoa; Chordata; Amphibia; Anura; Pelobatidae. The record is from RNAcentral.
GCAGACACAUUCCAGCCAAUCAGCAGCAGACCCUCCCUCCCAGACCCUCCCACCUCCUGGACAGCAUCCAUUUUACAUUCAUUGUGAAGCUGCAUGCUUAGUGAGCUGUCCAGGAGGUGGGAGGGUCUGGGAGGGAGGGUCUGCUGCUGAUUGGCUGGAAUGUGUCUG